CCUCACUCAGACUUGAGUUGUUAACAUCCUUAUCAUUAAUAAUGGUUUUGUAUCAAUGCUAUAGCUUACCUGUAUGAAAAGAGCCCAAGAUUAAUCAAUAAUACCAAAUAUUAUAUAUAAAAAUCAAUCCGCAAAGGUACUUGAACAUAUAGAGCAUGAAAACCAAGGGGUAUCAAAUUGUCCAGUCAAAAUCAAGAAAAUACUUAUUACUAGUACACUUUCAUUUUGAACCAGACCAUCUUGCAGGCAAUUGCACCUAUUUAAAACUACUUCUCUUGAUACAGAACAUACAUAUGAUUAAAUUAUAACACUUACCUUCUUUCAGAAGAAUCUUCUGUUUCAAAAUGAAUUUUAAACCGUAUUCCACAGGAAAACGAAUGUAUAAGGGCUCUUGGAGAACUUAUGAUAAGGUAUGAUAAUCUCGGAUGAAUGAGCCCUGUAUAACAUACUCAAAUUUCAGAGGUAUCCUCAACUGGAAAAAGAAGUCAUCAAAAUGCAAUGAUGUACAUCAACUCAUAAAGAAAACACCAAGACAAAUAAAUCUUGACGGAAAUGAUUGAAACACGGAGACUCCAGUAAUUACCUCAUCAACAAAAUCUUGCGCAUAAAAGAGAUGCUCGGAUAUUGGUUGAUGAGAUUCAGUUGUUCCUACGUAAAAUAGAGCAGCAACCUGAAAUAAGACCAACCUGUAACAACCAAAAUUAAUUCAAUGAUAACAAAGAAUUGUGGACCUUAAGGCUAUUAUAUUCAGAACACUAUUAUAUGCAUACCUCCUGAUAUUGAUGACUUCAA
Molecule: long non-coding RNA, 792 nt
Filed under: Erythranthe guttata (spotted monkey flower)
Lineage: Eukaryota; Viridiplantae; Streptophyta; Magnoliopsida; Lamiales; Phrymaceae
Description: long non-coding RNA (EGUT_LNC002460)
Source: RNAcentral